RNAcentral lists this ribosomal RNA (253 nucleotides) under uncultured bacterium. RNAcentral describes it as "partial 16S ribosomal RNA". It matches the Rfam family "Archaeal small subunit ribosomal RNA", at positions 474 to 727 of the family's 1478-position model. The record is from RNAcentral.
UACCAGCACCCCGAGUGGUCGGGACGAUUAUUGGGCCUAAAGCACCCGUAGCCGGUUCUACAAGUCUUCCGUUAAAUCCACCUGCUUAACAGAUGGGCUGCGGAGGAUACUAUAGAGCUAGGAGGCGGGAGAGGCAAGCGGUACUUAGUGGGUAGGGGUAAAAUCCGUUGAUCCAUUGAAGACCACCAGUGGCGAAGGCGGCUUGCCAGAAUGCGCUCGACGGUGAGGGAUGAAAGCUGGGGGAGCAAACCGG